Molecule: transfer RNA, 71 nt
Filed under: archaeon
Lineage: Archaea
Description: tRNA-Gly
Rfam family: tRNA
About the family: Transfer RNA (tRNA) molecules are approximately 80 nucleotides in length. Their secondary structure includes four short double-helical elements and three loops (D, anti-codon, and T loops).
Source: RNAcentral
GCGAGGAUAGUUUAGUGGUAGAAUAUGACGUUGCCAACGUUGUGACCCGGGUUCGAACCCCGGUCCCCGCA